GGGGUUGUGGCUCAGUGGUAGAGUGCUCACCUAGCACAUAAGAGGCCCUGAGUUUGAUCCUCGGCACCACA
RNAcentral lists this transfer RNA (71 nucleotides) under Marmota monax (woodchuck). Its description in RNAcentral is "tRNA.Ala". It matches the Rfam family "tRNA". Rfam says of the family: Transfer RNA (tRNA) molecules are approximately 80 nucleotides in length. Their secondary structure includes four short double-helical elements and three loops (D, anti-codon, and T loops). Lineage: Eukaryota; Metazoa; Chordata; Mammalia; Rodentia; Sciuridae. The record is from RNAcentral.